This 732-nucleotide ribosomal RNA is filed under the name Triticum aestivum (bread wheat). Its description in RNAcentral is "partial small subunit ribosomal RNA". Lineage: Eukaryota; Viridiplantae; Streptophyta; Magnoliopsida; Poales; Poaceae. The record is from RNAcentral.
AUGAGGGCCUUAUUCUGGAACAUUAGGGGUUUCGGUGCUAGGGGGCGCCGGGAUCAAAUUAAAGAUUUGGUGCGUGGGAAUAAUGUUGAUUUGGUAGGGUUCGUGGAGACUUUCAAAACUUCUUUUUCCCCUCAUGAGUUGUCAUCUAUUGCGGGUAUGGAUAGAUUUGAUUGGCAUGUGUUACCCGCGUCAGGCCAUUCGGGUGGCAUCCUCAUUGGCUCCAAAAGAGAUGUUUUUUAUUUCAUUGCCUUUGAUCACGGUAUUUUUUGGGCUAGCACAGUUGUUUGCCACAAAGCCCUGAAUUUGUUAUGGGAGUUCAUUGUAGUUUAUGGGCCUGCUGAUCAUUCUCUCUCCUCUCUAUUUCUGGACGAGCUCUCUGAAAAGAUUGAGGCUUGUAACCUACCGAUGGUUAUCGGUGGAGACUUCAAUCUCCUUCGUUCCCCUUCUGAUAGAAAUAAUAACAACUUCUCCUGGCCUCUGGCUAAUGCUUUCAAUGACUUUAUCAGUUCUAAUGCCAUCCGCGAGCUUCCUAGGGUUGGAGCCUGCUUCACUUUGUCUAAUCACCAGACUAACCCGAUCAGAUCGGCUCUAGACAGAGUCUUUGUUUGCUCUAGGUGGGACUCGUUAUUUCCCAGGGCCUCCCUCGUCGCCAAAUGUAUUGUGGGUUCAGAUCAUACUCCUCUCCUUAUGGACGAUGGAUCACAGCUUCAUAGACCACCUGCCUGUUUCUAG